AAAGGUCAUAAUUGGUUACUCUAAUGAUUCUGAAUGCACUUUUUUGAGGAGAUCAGCAAUCAUAAACAAAUGCACGCACACCAUGGAAAAGAAUGAAGACCUGGUAAGUAAGUACGUACAACAGAUGCCAUAACCACAGCGAGUGCAAAUGCUGAUCCUCCAGCACCC
Telopea speciosissima is the source of this 168-nucleotide long non-coding RNA. RefSeq lists it as uncharacterized. The transcript is spliced from 3 exons. The record is from RefSeq and is a predicted model, not a curated record. Lineage: Eukaryota; Viridiplantae; Streptophyta; Magnoliopsida; Proteales; Proteaceae.